UCCUACGGGAGGCAGCAGUGGGGAAUAUUGGACAAUGGGCGAAAGCCUGAUCCAGCCAUGCCGCGUGUGUGAAGAAGGCCUUCGGGUUGUAAAGCACUUUCAGUGAGGAAGAAAGCCUUGAGGUUAAUACCCUCGAGGGAGGACAUCACUCACAGAAGAAGCACCGGCUAACUCCGUGCCAGCAGCCGCGGUAAUACGGAGGGUGCGAGCGUUAAUCGGAAUUACUGGGCGUAAAGCGCGCGUAGGCGGCUUGAUAAGCCGGUUGUGAAAGCCCCGGGCUCAACCUGGGAACGGCAUCCGGAACUGUCAGGCUAGAGUGCAGGAGAGGAAGGUAGAAUUCCCGGUGUAGCGGUGAAAUGCGUAGAGAUCGGGAGGAAUACCAGUGGCGAAGGCGGCCUUCUGGACUGACACUGACGCUGAGGUGCGAAAGCGUGGGUAGCAAACAGGAUUAGAUACCCUGGUAGUCCACGCCGUAAACGAUGUCGACUAGCCGUUGGGCUCCUUGAGAGCUUUGUGGCGCAGUUAACGCGAUAAGUCGACCGCCUGGGGAGUACGGCCGCAAGGUUAAAACUCAAAUGAAUUGACGG
Molecule: ribosomal RNA, 587 nt
Filed under: uncultured bacterium
Lineage: Bacteria
Description: bacterial SSU rRNA
Rfam family: Bacterial small subunit ribosomal RNA
Source: RNAcentral